Molecule: long non-coding RNA, 336 nt
Filed under: Brassica napus (rape)
Lineage: Eukaryota; Viridiplantae; Streptophyta; Magnoliopsida; Brassicales; Brassicaceae
Description: long non-coding RNA (BNAP_LNC015298)
Source: RNAcentral
UUGAACUAAGAGAUACAUGUUUCCGCUUAGAAUUUUCUGGUAUUAAGAAAUAGCAAUAGAAAAAGAAUCAAUUUGCUAAAAAACCAGAAAAAAGUUAGAAAUUAGAUAAAUACAUCAGAAAUUGUGAAAGUUCACUGUGUAAGCUAUGUCAGGUCUGGUUAUGAUUGCAACCACCAAGAAUGCUACGAUAGAGAUGAGGAUUAGCAAAGUGGAACUUGCAACAGCAGAGCAGAUAAAGAGGACCCAGAAGUGACUAUGGGAGAAGGGAGAGGUUCUUUCCAUGCCAGCCUUGACCAAUAGAUCAGUAAUGUUUUGAGAAAGAUAGAAGCAGAAGUU